This 116-nucleotide ribosomal RNA is filed under the name Lepisosteus oculatus (spotted gar). The record is from RNAcentral. Lineage: Eukaryota; Metazoa; Chordata; Actinopteri; Semionotiformes; Lepisosteidae.
GCCUGCAGCCAUAUCACUCUGCAACUCACAACUGGCAACCCACUGAAGCUAAGCGGGUAUGAGCCUGGUCAGUACCUGGAUGGGAGACCUGGGAAAAACUAAGGUUGCUGCUGGAA